GCCUUUGUGGUGUAGUGGUCAGCACGCUCGACGCGUAUUCGAGAGGUCUGUAGUUCGAGUCCCGGCUAGGGCG
Molecule: transfer RNA, 73 nt
Filed under: Stegodyphus mimosarum
Lineage: Eukaryota; Metazoa; Arthropoda; Arachnida; Araneae; Eresidae
Rfam family: tRNA
About the family: Transfer RNA (tRNA) molecules are approximately 80 nucleotides in length. Their secondary structure includes four short double-helical elements and three loops (D, anti-codon, and T loops).
Source: Rfam by way of RNAcentral